Molecule: unclassified non-coding RNA, 238 nt
Filed under: Funneliformis mosseae
Lineage: Eukaryota; Fungi; Glomeromycota; Glomeromycetes; Glomerales; Glomeraceae
Description: partial contains 5.8S ribosomal RNA and internal transcribed spacer 2
Rfam family: 5.8S ribosomal RNA (bases 1-71)
Source: RNAcentral
GUGAAUCAUCAAAUCUUUGAACGCAAAUUGCACUCCCUGGUAUUCCGGGGAGUAUGUCUGUUUGAGGGUCGUUAGAAAAAAAAUCGAAGCGGCUCUCUUUUUUUGAAGGGUGAUCGCAUCGGAAUUGAGCCGUCUUUCAAAUGUUAAUUCAUGUCAAAGUGGCUUAAAAUUUACCUAUCCGGUACUAUUAAAGAGUAUUUAAGAUCAAUUUUGAUUAAGAACGCGCUAUGAACGUCCC